RNAcentral lists this unclassified non-coding RNA (3010 nucleotides) under Haliotis rubra (blacklip abalone). Its description in RNAcentral is "d(2) dopamine receptor A-like, transcript variant X1". The record is from RNAcentral. Lineage: Eukaryota; Metazoa; Mollusca; Gastropoda; Lepetellida; Haliotidae.
CUUCGCCAAGCUGCCUUGUAAGAAACCUGGUGGUUUUCAGGCUGCUCAGAAACAAACAAGCCGUUCGUUUCCGAUAUGAAUCCGAGCUCUUGUUGCCAGUGGUCGCUAUGAGCGGGCCAGCCUAUCCUAUGUCCACUCACUUCGCUAACGUGGUCAGUAUGAACCGGACAUCUAUCUGAUCGUCGGAAUAUCACGCAGUAUGGAGCUGUUGCUGGGGAGUAUCCAGGUGACGCUGAGGCACAACCUCGGCAUCCUCCUGUUGUGUGACGUCCUCAUCAUCUUCCUCAACCUCAUGGUCAUCGUGCUCAUCUUCAUGUCGGAGAGGCUUAGGAACUCCACCAAGCACAUGCUGGUUGUCAAUCUGGCCUUUGCGGACCUUCUAAUAGGGGUCAUAGUGAUACCACUAUAUGCAGACUAUGGGGAGAAGGGGGAGUGGCAGUUCCCAUGUACCCUGAGGAAUGCCCUGACUGUGCUACAGAUGAACAUCCUUCCGUCUGUAACCACGUUAUGUGUGUUUGUCAUCAAUAUGGACUAUGUGUUCGCGAUGGGGUGCUAUUUUUACACAAACGGUAAGACAAAGUACGUGAUGUCUGGUUCAAUGGGUCUGUUGCCCUGGGUGAUAUCAGGAGCGCUUCUGGUACCUCUAUACUUCAUAGCAACAGAGCCAGGCCGACCAUAUGACGUCCUACCCUGCGUCAGAAGGUACAAGGAAGACGUCACGGCGCUGCUACUCAUAGCGUUCUCGUUCUUUCCCCAGAGUUUUAUCAUCAUGGUGACUGGAAUUGCUGCUGUCAUUGGAUACCUCAUCAAACGACGUUCCACGGGUCUGGACAUGUUUGGCGAGAGAAUACACUCUCCAGUGGACAUCAGUUUGGUCAGUUUUAUCACCAUCCUGUUCUAUACUCCCUACUUCUGUCUGGCUGUUCCCGUUAACAGAAUAAGCUGCAGCUCGUCAUCAGAAUGCGAAGUCCUUCGUACCAUUGGUAUCAUAGCUAGCUGGUUGUUUGUCAUCAAAUCAUUUGUCGUGCCAUUGUGUUGGUUCUGUUCUAGAGACUUUAGGACCGCGUUUAGGAAUAUUUGCUGUUGGUGUUGCUGCUAAUGACCUCAUCUUUGUCGACUGACACCUGUAACGGGGACUAUGGCUGACCCUUUCAGACGGAUCGGUACCAUCACAUGACUGUGAACGUCAAGCUGAUACUGGCCAAUAAUAUACCGAUGUUGUGGCUUAACAGUGUGGGCCAGUGUUGUAUCGUCUGCUGACACUAUUGGCGUUCGGAAGUUGCUUUAUUGAACUGAAAUUCGACCAACGUUUGACAAACGCACUGCAGCAAGAUCGACAUUUGUUUUUUCUUCAUCUUAAAGAACUUAUGUAACCGAAGUCAGCUUAUGGAUUAAGUGUAAAGAACAGAAACACGCACCUGACCUAGUCUGCAGGAUGCAGUGACUGUACUGCUCGCCCACUCGUGGAUAGGAGGAACUGGUGGAACUUGAUAAGGUUUACACAGACAAAUAUGGCAUAGUGACAACGCAGCCAAACCGGACCUUGUUUGUUUUAUUAGACGCGGAAAAGAAUUAAUCAUUGUAUGGAACGUCCGUUUCCUUAUGCAAGAUGUUUGUGUUGUUAAUUGAGUGUGGUCGUGUAAUCGGAACGAGACAAGUCCUACAGGAUUGGAUGAGACCGUUCAUCUGAGGAGAGUGCACAUACGUGAUGGAGACAGUCGUUAGACCCAUUCACACAUGCGUCUUGUAGUACACAAUUUGUGUGACCAACUAGUUGUACUGUGUGAACUGGACGUUCUUUCAUGGAAUAUGCUUGUUUAUGAUCCAGACUUUGACCACAUGGACUUAAAUCAAUGCUACUUCCACAGAAAACUGCUGGUUGUGUAUAAGAUUUUAAUUCAAGUAUGUAGUCGUUCGCUUGUCUAAUACAGUACUCACUGACAAAAUAACUGGACACAAUAAAGAACAUGUACACUCUUAAAAACUGAAAUUGUUAAUGAACCAAAAUCCAAAAACAAAACGAAUUAAAUUAAAGAAGUGGGCCACCUGAGUAGUUAAAGGGUUAUCUCCCUUUUCCUAUCUGCCAGCUUUGGGUUAUAUUUAUUCCUGAAAGUUGUUAUCUCAUGGGAGAUGUCUUUAUUUUUUUAACAUUUAAAAACAUUGCACUAUCGGUGGGUCCGUACACCACGCAAUAAUGAGUUGUCGUAUACAGAGCGCCGUGUAGUCGGAGUAUCACGUAAGGUAUGCACUGGAUCUAGCUAUAACAAAUGAUGACAUUGCAAGUCUAGCUGUUGUCGUGAAAGUAAGGAUACUGUAAGGUUAACGUCAGAACUGGUGUCCGCAACAUACUACACAAAUGUUGAUAGGGACACUGAGCUAUUCAUACUGUGACAAAACUCCGAGGGUGGAUAUGUCACACACGGUGGAAUGGAAAGGAGUGAAAUUGUUUCCUAAGGGACAGUACAGAAUUGUCCUUUGCACAUUUGUAGUCAAGGUGUAGAUGGUGUAACUGGUGAUAGACAGGCUGAGACGUGUGAUGAUGUUGAACUACGAGACUAUUGUACGUAAUAGAAGAACUUAUAGGAUAAAAGUGUUUGCGAUUAUUCUGCUGUGACUGCCAGUUGGCCUUUGUUGCCACCCAAGACUGUUCAGGUAUAUUGCAAGACUGUGCGGGCGGAGGAGGCACAUAACGAGUCCUUGGUGGAAUCGACCCUAGCGUGAGUCACUUCCUAGUUGACACCUCAACGUGUCACCCCCUGAGUGUGAACUGAACAAAGUGCUUGACCCGCCGUCGGAGUGUUGUGUGAUUGGUGUGAUGACAUGAAGGAAAUAGUUUUAGCAGGUCGUAGACAUUGGCAGUAUAUAUGUCAGGAAUGCCGGCAUGUAUCCGUGGUACCGGUUGUUCAGUUUUCAAUAUAUGUAACAAUUAUGAAGAUGAAUAAUGAAAUGUACUAGGGCUGAGACGGGUAACCCGGAUACCCGGGACGGGUGGGUAAUGAGUUGGACCCGG